GUUUUAUUCAAGGGGGUGGGUGGGGAUCCGAGCUAGUCUGGGUUGACAUUGGAAUUUCUGAUGUCAGGUCCCAGUUGAAGCAGUAUUUUACUUGAGCUGUCUCUGAUGUCAGGGGGAUAGAAAAAAUUCCUGGUGAGCAGGAAGAAGAGUGUAUAAAGGGUAACGGGAUUUGUGUGUAUAUAUACCAUGUGCAGGUCAAGAACCUCAAAGAUGGCUUCUUGGAACUCCUUAUGCUGCUGAUGAAAAGAAAACACUGCCAGACAGAAAGGGGAUCCCACUAUGUUGGCCAGACUGGUUCCCAACUCCUGGACUGAAGCAAUCCUCCUGCCUCAGCCUCCCAAAGUGCUGGGAUUACAGAUGUAAGCCACCACAC
This 373-nucleotide long non-coding RNA is filed under the name Pan troglodytes (chimpanzee). RNAcentral describes it as "long non-coding RNA NONPTRT012657". The record is from RNAcentral. Lineage: Eukaryota; Metazoa; Chordata; Mammalia; Primates; Hominidae.